AAUGGGCGAAAGCCUGACGCAGCAACGCCGUGUGAGGGAUGAAGGCUUUCGGGUCGUAAACCUCUGUCGGAAGGGAAGAACGGGCAUUGGUCUAAUAGGCCUUUGUUUUGACGGUACCUUUAGAGGAAGCACCGGCUAACUCCGUGCCAGCAGCCGCGGUAAUACGGAGGGUGCAAGCGUUANUUGGAAUUACUGGGCGUAAAGCGCACGUAGGCCGCUUNGUAAGUCAGGGGUGAAAUCCCACGGCUCAACCGUGGAACUGCCUUUGAAACUGCAGAGCUUGAAUCCUGGAGAGGGUGGCGGAAUUCCUGGUGUAGGAGUGAAAUCCGUAGAUAUCAGGAGGAACACCGGUGGCGAAGGCGGCCACCUGGACGGUAACUGACGCUGAGGUGCGAAAGCGUGGGUAGCAAA
This 411-nucleotide ribosomal RNA is filed under the name uncultured bacterium. RNAcentral's name for it is "bacterial SSU rRNA". It matches the Rfam family "Bacterial small subunit ribosomal RNA", at positions 370 to 772 of the family's 1533-position model. The record is from RNAcentral.